GCUUCCCCUACCAAAGUUACCUGAGUACAAUACCGAAUAAGGAAAAAAAUUGUUUUCCCUUUUAUGACGUACAUGUUAUUUCCCUGUUCCUUGCGGAACACUUAACAAUGCUUUGCAGAACCGUGGUUGGGAAACACUAAUGUAGCCGAUCAUGUUUCCUCAUUCCAUAUUGGAGGACAUCUGAUUUCUCAAUUACUUUGUGUGAGCACUAUCAAACUGUUAACUCCAUAUUUUAAUAAGGUAUUAUAAGCACCAAAAAGUAACCAAAAGUAAAGUAAGUUUAGUACCUAAUAUAGUGAUGCUAGGUAAAAUUUGAUAUUUCUUGAUAUUUGGGCAAUUCUGUUUGGCACAGGAAUGAGAGAGCAUGGCCCAAGAGAAAAAAAUCCCAGCAGAAUGUUGACCCCUUCUUUACCGUAUCCCCUAAUUAAACACUCCUGGUUCAAUGGUGAAGAUUCCACAUGGGGCUGAAGCUCUAUUCAAGUUAUGGGGUCCCAAAGUUGGGACUCUGAAUUAUUAUUUUUUUAAAUUUUUGCAAAACUUAUGGUCAGAUAUUUUAAAAACAAUUUUAGAUGUAUCUUAUCAUUCUGAAUUUAAUGCAAUCGGUUUAAAUAAGCUACAACUUACACUUAUGAAGUUAUAUAAUUUUUUCAUUUACGAUGAUAUAUCCAUUCUGAAG
RNAcentral lists this long non-coding RNA (676 nucleotides) under Androctonus crassicauda. Lineage: Eukaryota; Metazoa; Arthropoda; Arachnida; Scorpiones; Buthidae. The record is from RNAcentral.